AGAUACCCUGGUAGUCCACGCCCUAAACGAUGUCAACUGGUUGUUGGGAGGGUUUCUUCUCAGUAACGUAGCUAACGCGUGAAGUUGACCGCCUGGGGAGUACGGCCGCAAGGUUGAAACUCAAAGGAAUUGACGGGGACCCGCACAAGCGGUGGAUGAUGUGGUUUAAUUCGAUGCAACGCGAAAAACCUUACCUACCCUUGACAUGCCAGGAAUCCUGAAGAGAUUUGGGAGUGCUCGAAAGAGAACCUGGACACAGGUGCUGCAUGGCCGUCGUCAGCUCGUGUCGUGAGAUGUUGGGUUAAGUCCCGCAACGAGCGCAACCCUUGUCAUUAGUUGCUACGAAAGGGCACUCUAAUGAGACUGCCGGUGACAAACUGGAGGAAGGUGGGGAUGACGUCAGGUCAUCAUGGCCCUUAUGGGUAGGGCUACACACGUCAUACAAUGGCCGGGACAGAGGGCUGCCAACCCGCGAGGGGGAGCUAAUCCCAGAAACCCGGUCGUAGUCCGGAUCGUAGUCUGCAACUCGACUGCGUGAAGUCGGAAUCGCUAGUAAUCGCGGAUCAGCUUGCCGCGGUGAAUACGUUCCCGGGUCUUGUACACACCGCCCGUCACACCAUGGGAGCGGGUUCUGCCAGAAGUAGUUAGCCUAACCGCAAGGAGGGCGAUUACCACGGCAGGGUUCGUGACUGGGGUGAAGUCGUAACAAGGUAAC
This 715-nucleotide ribosomal RNA is filed under the name uncultured Roseateles sp. RNAcentral describes it as "bacterial SSU rRNA". It matches the Rfam family "Bacterial small subunit ribosomal RNA", at positions 780 to 1500 of the family's 1533-position model. The record is from RNAcentral. Lineage: Bacteria; Pseudomonadati; Pseudomonadota; Betaproteobacteria; Burkholderiales; Sphaerotilaceae.